Non-coding RNA from Coffea arabica (coffee), 2979 nucleotides. The record is from RefSeq and is a predicted model, not a curated record. Lineage: Eukaryota; Viridiplantae; Streptophyta; Magnoliopsida; Gentianales; Rubiaceae.
UUUGACAAUUUUGCCCAUAAAAAAUGAUCACAUGCAAGGCACAUGGUGGAUUCCGAUAAAAAAACUAGUAGGAAAUCUAGGUAGGGAUCAAAUUUGACCAAUAUGAAUUUGUAAGGAAUGUAAAAUUACACUUUUAAAAAUGAGGGAUUAAAAAAGUCAUUUUGUAAAAUAUGAGAAACGUUUUGAACGAUUUUUCCUAAAAAAUUGUAGUCUCAAGAAAUGUCCUAAAUUUGGGAUAGAGGCAGCACAUAAUUGUUUUACUAACAGUGAAAGAAUGGGGACAAUUGACAAGAAGCUCCAAAACUUGGGCUGCGUGAAGAAUUUCAAAACCUGAGGUGGGUAUUUUCUUGUUAUUAAACCAGCAUGAAGCUAUACCAGUUUGUUGGAUAAUUUGAAGUAGGCAUGGCUUAUUGAAAAUGGAAAUGGUGACCAAGUAAUGAUUUAUGUGAGCACAGAUUACUGAGCUACAAUCUCCCAGACCUGAUUGACCAAACAUGAUGACUGAUGAGAAACAACCUCCUAGGAAGUGAUUUGCAUCAAAAAUAUAUCACUGGGUCGAUAAGAGUUAUCCACAAAAAGAUUGUAAUGGCUUAGCUUCACUUUGCUCAGCUUGAUGUUCAAGCCUCACUUCCAUGUACUGUACUACUGCUGCCACAUGAAGUAGAGAUUCCCUGUCCAGGCUGCUAAGCCUUUAGGUGAGGGAGUAUACCGCUCUUUGAAAACAAUGAACUAACCAAACCACUGGAACCCUCACAGAAGACAUUCAACUGGAGAAGGCAUCCUUACUGGAUGACAAAUUAAGUUCAGGCCUCAAGUCCAAUGAGAAGGAUAAUGGAGCCAGAGUACCUAUUGAAGAUCCAACAGCGUAAGGAGCAACAGGCACAUCAGCAAGAGAAGAUGCAGAUGGACUAUAGCUUAGAGACCCCAUUGGGUGAUCAAACAUGCAUGAACGCCCAAAUUUGGAUACUUCAUUUUGUAAAUAGUGAUGACAAACAGCCAACACCCGGACGUAGAGGUAGACCCUUGAGGCUAAGGACAAGAUUUGCCUUCUGUGCACUCCAUUCAGGUUGGCCAGGACUUUCUGAAACUGCAUGCUCCUUGUGGAUGCUACCUGAAGGACCUGCGGCAGGUGGAAUAGAUAGAUACUGUCCUUAUAUGCUGGGUGUUGAAGGAGACAACUAGUUAUUCCAUAAACAGGACCAGCUCUCACUGCAGGUUGAGUACUUGCAGUGGCUGCAAAACUUCAGGCGCCAGGUAAAAGUCCAACCCAAAACAGGAACCAUUCCUGCAUGGGGGGAUAUGAUUGCUCAUAAAAGAAAUCAUGAGAUGCCAAUUUAUUUGCCCUGUGAAGUACAAUUUGGAUUCGAAAUUCAACUGAAUUUUAUUAUUAAUUGUUAGUUGCCCAAUACUGUGAAAUUCUCUGAUGAGAUUUAACAAAAAUGUACAAAAUCUCUUGAACCAAGUUUUAAAGUAUUAAUGCUAUUGUUCAUGCUUGUUUCAUCUGGGAAAAACAUCAGGUGUUUAAAUAGUUUCUUAUUUAAAAUACUGUUCUUUGUAAAAUGGAAGCUAUGGAAUAUUUCUUCUACGUGCAAUAAGCGUGCUUUCAAAAAAAAUAAUCUGAACACUAAUUUAAAGUCAUUUUGUCUGUUAAUAAUCAGUGAACUUGCAUAGCUUAUUUCAUUUACGUUAUGAGUAUAAUUCAGAUCACUACAUUGGCCAAAUCACUUGACUUCAUACAUGUCUUUUUUAUUCCCCCCUUUUUUGGUGGAAAGGUAUGUGAAAAUGUUCACAGAAAAGAGUUUGAAUGCUUAGUUCCACAGAUAUUAAUUGGAAAUUGGUGGGUUUUCUUUGAACAGUUCUUUAAAUUGGAAAUGAAUGAUAGUUUUAGCUGAGGGGGCUAUUUUUUGGAUUUUGAAAGAUGGCUUGGUUAAGUUCUGGUUUGAUAAUUGGGAUCAUACAGGUCCUUUAUAUAAUACUGCAUCAGUAAUUGCAGAUCAUCGGGUAAUAGACUUUGUUCGAGAUGGAGUUUGGGAUCAAAAUCUGCUAAACCAGUCACUGCAUUCGGUUGUGGUUAGUCAGGUUUCACAGAUUUCUCCUCCCUCCUUUCACGCUAAUGAUGAUAUGGUUUGGUCUCUUUCAUCUGCAGACAAGUUCUCCAUGUCUUCGCCUUCACCUAGUGAGAAAAGCAAGGAAAUCCUCCUUGGCGUUUGUGGGUAUUUGGCCCUCGAGUAUUCCUUUAAAGGUUUCUUUUUUCAUCCUUCGGUGCUUAUUUAAUCGUUUGUCUGUGCUUGAUACACUAAGUUUGGGAUCCAUGGUCAGUCUAAGUGUUGGUGUCGGGAAAAUCCAGCUUUAGAGACUUUUGAUCAUGCAUUUAGUGAUAGGCAACUUGCUGCUUUAGUAUGGAGUUUCUUUGAAGGUGUGGCUGGCAUUUUGCCUUUGGGUUCUGCUAGUUAAUUGGUGGUUGCAACCAACUACAAACCCUUCACAGGUUUUUAUAUAUAGAGUAGUACUUAUCUUCGUUUGCUAGCAUUUAUGGAAGGUGGGGAAUGAGGCAUUUUCUGAAGGGCGUUUCUCGACUCAUCAUCAUCUUUGCUAACAAAAUUUUAAGGGUGUUGCUAAUCCAUGUGCUCUCGAGUUCAAAGGAAUUGGAUUUGUCACUACAUCUUGGGUGCAAUUUUACCAGUCAGCCUCUUCUUUCAAGAAGAAACUUAGGCCGAUUCCUGUGAGAUGGAUCAGUCCACCUGCUGCUGAUUUUACACUUAACUCAGAUGGUUUUUCAGAAGGUAAUCCAGGACUUAAGGUGGCAGAGGGGUUGUUUAGAAGUUUCUUUUUUUUUUUUUAUUGUUCAGAAGGUGAUUCAGCACAAUUUUCUUUUCCUUAGGAAUCUCAUUUUUGUCAACUUAAAAGAAACUUUUUCAGGGCCGCCUACAUAUCUAUAAUUCAUCAAGUCAUCGCUAACCCGAUCUUCACUUCUUGAUA